Molecule: long non-coding RNA, 2602 nt
Filed under: Aplysia californica (California sea hare)
Lineage: Eukaryota; Metazoa; Mollusca; Gastropoda; Aplysiida; Aplysiidae
Description: uncharacterized LOC118478930
Source: RNAcentral
UUAUGAUGAUACCAAUAACUCUACAUGCCCAAAAAUUGACGAGAGCCUGAUUCCACCUCGCUGCCUCACAGAUGAUGUGUGAAUAUUGCGUGUGUGAGAACUUGCCUAUUGAGACCCGGUCCAAUAAUCAUGUUGUAGUCGGCUUCUACUCACAUUCCUGGGUUUUUUUCUACAGGAAAUUAAUUCAAAUUGAAUGUUUAAAAUUUAUUUAUUUCAUUUGUAAGUAAAUCUCUAUUAUUCUGAUGUAUUUCUACUGGAUGUGCCUUCUUGUGCAACUUUUCUAAUGUUUAUGUGGAUUAUUUCCCUUUUGAAUGUCAUGUCAUUCCAUUCAUAACACAAUUACACUAAAUCAGUGUUUAUGGAUUUUUUUACCCAAGGUUUUUAUUUAUUUAUUGGGAGGGCAAAAUGUUUGCCGCUCGUUUUACAUCUUAAAAAGAGCAGGGUUUUGAUUCAUGUAGGCCUACUUAAAAUCCAAAUAUUGAGACAUUUUCCACCAUUUUUCAAGUCAUGAAGUUGACUUACGUUUAGCUUAUGUACAGACAGUAGGAACACAUACUUCAGUAUGUUCCUUUAUCAAAAAGAGGCUCUGCCUAUCAUUUUUUAUAUUGCGAGUUUGACUAAUGUAGAGUACCAUUUUUUUUUUUGUAAUGGGAGUCUAACUCACAUACCGUACUCUCUUAUUGUGAUCUUUCCUCAAAACAGCUAUCAGUGAUCUAGGCCAUUGUGUUACGACUGUGUUCCUUUGAAUGUCAUAUUUUGUGAUGUAACCUAUAGAUACGUAUCUCUGCCCCUCGGGACCAUCCUAACUUACACUAUUGCAAUCAUUGUUUUCAGAUGGUUACCUUUUUUUCACUUUGGAAUUAGACAAUCUAACUUUGGACUCUUUGUUGGUCGUCGUAAUAAUUGUUAUCAUUUGAUAAAUCAGUUCUAUAGCGCCCACUCCCUGGUGGCUCCACGCGCUGCACAAUGAAAUAAAAUUUCAACAGCUUUCAUAUAAUUUUAAAAAAUAUAUAUAUAUAUAAUAUUGUAUGCAUACUGCUCCAUUCAAUGUAUAACAAUCCGAUCAAAAACAUUUGCAUUUUGUCAUGUUUGGAGGUAUUAAUGUUGCUUCGCUCUGAGGACAUGUAAAGCUGGGUGGCGUCUGCGUGCGUGUGACAGUGAAAGGAAUUAUCGGGACUUGUUACGAUGAAACUGAGAAGGUAUUGUGUACAUGGUGUCUAACUGUUGUCCUAACACAGAGCACUAUUGCAGUAUCCUGUAUUAUUUCAAGCUGUACAUAGCUAACCAUUUUUUUUCUGUUUAUAAGAACAGACCGAACGCUCAGAUAGGUAUGACAUUUCUUUCUUAAUCAUCAUCAUCAUCAUCAUCAUCAUCAUCAUCAUCAUCAUCAUCAUCAUCAUCAUCAUCAUCAUCAUCAUCACCAUUCAUGACAGUGACGUGUAAUGACCGUUCAUUGCUUAUAUCAUCCUUUCAAGUACCUUGUACUUCAUGUUUACCAUUAUAUGAUCAUUUCUAUCUUUGUUGUGGUUUUUACUAUUUGAUGUAAUGUUAAUACUAUUGGUCGUAUUGUUAUGAUCUGUGUUAUUAUUAAUAUAUUAUUGUGAUAUAUCAUUGUGAUAUCAUUAUCAGUGGUCAUUUUUUUUACAUAUUAUUUACCGUUUUUGUUACUAUUAACAUUAUUUUAGUCCUAUUUCGGAAUAGUUUAUUGUCAUUUUUUAAAAUGAUUUUAAAAAUUAUUGUUAACGUCAAUGUUUUUUUUGGUAUCAUACGACUGUUUCUUUUCCCCUACAACGUUUUCUCGUAACCGUAGCCUUUGAGAGGUCUGAACAAACUCAGGUCUUGACAUCUCUUCAUGUUUUCUACUUCUUAUAUAUCUAUCUAAACACCAUUGUGAUAAUGUGAGGAUUUAUGGAGGAGCUCUCAUUGUCAUGUUUUCUUUGAAAGACCUUUGUGUAAAAAAUGUAAGUGUAUUAUGGUGGGUUGGACACCCCUAUCAACACUGCUAGCUUAUUGAAUCUAAGAGGCAGGACCUCUGAAUUUAACGUCGGUCUCUCCGAUAGGACUGAGCAUUAAAUGGGUCGGUGAGAGCCUUGAAAACCCCACAAAACAACAUACGCUCAAGUCCAAAGGUCCACUUUGAAAUUUUCAAUCAGGCCCACUUUGAAUUUAAACCAGGACCGGCAGUACUGUAGUCCAGCAUGAUGCCAACUGAGCUAGAUCUAAUAACAGAGCACCUGAGAUUAUUCUGAUAGUGUGAGGAUUUGUUGAGCAGCUGCCUCUGCCAGAACCAACUCUCUCCUCUACAAUGACCGGAUGUGUUAUCAGGUUGUACACUCUCUCCUCUACAAUGACCGGCUGUGUUAUCAAGUUGUACACUCUCUCCUCUACAAUGACCGGCUGUGUUAUCAAGUUGUACACUCUCUCCUCUACAAUGACCGGGUGUGUUAUCAGGUUGUACACUCUCUCCUCUACAAUGACCGGAUGUGUUAUCAAGUUGUACUUACUGACACACUGAUGCACCAUUUCAUCAGCAUUUUGAGUCGCUCAAGUCUACGUGUACAUGAAGGAAUUCAUGUGCAAAUAAAACAUUGUUCACAUCCUU